GGAGCGACACCGCGUGGAGGAUGAAGUUUUUAGGAAUGUAAACUCCUUUUGGCAGGGAUGAAAAAAAUGACAGUACCUGCAGAAUAAGCACCGGCUAACUACGUGCCAGCAGCCGCGGUAAUACGUAGGGUGCAAGCGUUGUUCGGAAUUACUGGGCGUAAAGAGUACGUAGGCGGCAAUGUAAGUCUGAUAUUAAAGACUGGAGCUUAACUUCAGGAGUGUAUUGGAAACUACAUAGCUAGAGGAUAGUAGAGGAAGUCGGAAUUCCCAGUGUAGCGGUGAAAUGCGUAGAUAUUGGGAAGAACACCAGUUGCGAAAGCGGACUUCUGGGCUAUUACUGACGCUGAGGUACGAAAGCGUGGGGAGCAAACAGGAUUAGAUACCCUGGUAGUCCACGCGGUAAACGAUGGAUACUAGGUGUAACUGGCUUCGACCCCAGUUGUGCCGUAGCUAACGCAUUAAGUAUCCCGCCUGGGGAGUAUGGCCGCAAGGUUGAAACUCAAAGGAAUUGACGGGGGCCCGCACAAGCGGUGGAGGAUGUGGUUUAAUUCGACGCAACGCGAAGAACCUUACCAAGGCUUGACAUGUACAGAAUCCAGCGGAAACAUUGGAGUGCUCGCAAGAGAG
This 627-nucleotide ribosomal RNA is filed under the name uncultured bacterium. RNAcentral's name for it is "bacterial SSU rRNA". It matches the Rfam family "Bacterial small subunit ribosomal RNA", at positions 388 to 1026 of the family's 1533-position model. The record is from RNAcentral.